UGAAGAUGGACGCCACGGAGAACAUUUGAACGCGCCAUAGUGGGACCGGACGAGGGUAACAUCAAAGAAUUUGGGUGAUGAGAAGCCUGCAGCCGAGGAAAAAGAGGCAGCAGAUGGAAACAAGGAAAGCCCUGUUAAUGAAAGUGAAGAAAAGGAUCCUGAGGAUAAGGAGAUGACACUGGAAGAAUAUGAGAAGGUGCUGGAAGAGAAAAGAAAAGCCCUGCAAGCACUCAAGACUGAAGUGAGAAAGGUGGAUGCAAAGGAGUUUGAAUCAAUGCAGCCACUUUCCACAAGAAAGACAAUGAUGAGAUCUUUGCUAAAUUGGGAUCUGACAAGGAUAAGUGCAGAGAUGCUAUUGAGAAGGAGAAAUCAAAGAAGGU
This is a long non-coding RNA of Lotus japonicus, 380 nucleotides long. RefSeq lists it as uncharacterized. The record is from RefSeq and is a predicted model, not a curated record. NCBI's taxonomy places the organism in Eukaryota, Viridiplantae, Streptophyta, Magnoliopsida, Fabales, Fabaceae. The transcript has 3 exons.